GUGUCAGCCGCCGCGGUAAUACGUAGGGGGCGAGCGUUAUUCGGAAUUACUGGGUGUAAAGGGUAUGUAGGCGGCCUCACAAGUCGCGUGUCAAAGUCCAGCGCUCAACGCUGGGUUCGCACGCGAUACUGUCUGGCUUGAGGACUGGAGAGGUGAGCGGAAUUCCCGGUGUAGUGGUAAAAUACGUAGAUAUCGGGAGGAACACCAGCGGCGUAGGCGGCUCACUAGACAGUUUCUGACGCUAAGAUACGAAAGCGUGGGGAGCAAACAGGAUUAGAUACCCUGGUAGUCCACGCCCUAAACGAUGGAUACUUGGUGUUGGGGGGUUACCUUCAGUGCCGGAGCUAACGCGUUAAGUAUCCCACCUGGGGACUACGGCCGCAAGGCUAAAACUCAAAGGAAUUGACGGGG
RNAcentral lists this ribosomal RNA (411 nucleotides) under uncultured prokaryote. RNAcentral describes it as "bacterial SSU rRNA". It matches the Rfam family "Bacterial small subunit ribosomal RNA", at positions 505 to 918 of the family's 1533-position model. The record is from RNAcentral.